GACGAACGCUGGCGGCGUGCCUAAUACAUGCAAGUAGAACGCUGAAGAGAGGAGCUUACUCUUCUUGGAUGAGUUGCGAACGGGUGAGUAACGCGUAGGUAACCUGCCUUGUAGCGGGGGAUAACUAUUGGAGACGAUAGCUAAUACCGCAUAACAAUGGAUGACACAUGUCAUUUAUUUGAAAGGGGCAAUUGCUCCACUACAAGAUGGACCUGCGUUGUAUUAGCUAGUAGGUGAGGUAAUGGCUCACCUAGGCGACAAUACAUAGCCGACCUGAGAGGGUGAUCGGCCACACUGGGACUGAGACACGGCCCAGACUCCUACGGGAGGCAGCAGUAGGGAAUCUUCGGCAAUGGGGGCAACCCUGACCGAGCAACGCCGCGUGAGUGAAGAAGGUUUUCGGAUCGUAAAGCUCUGUUGUAAGUCAAGAACGGGUGUGAGAGUGGAAAGUUCACACUGUGACGGUAGCUUACCAGAAAGGGACGGCUAACUACGUG
Molecule: ribosomal RNA, 497 nt
Filed under: uncultured bacterium
Lineage: Bacteria
Description: partial 16S ribosomal RNA
Rfam family: Bacterial small subunit ribosomal RNA
Source: RNAcentral